RNAcentral lists this ribosomal RNA (1325 nucleotides) under metagenome. Its description in RNAcentral is "bacterial LSU rRNA". It matches the Rfam family "Bacterial large subunit ribosomal RNA", at positions 1561 to 2925 of the family's 2925-position model. The record is from RNAcentral.
AGUGGAUGGGGAGCAACCUAGUUGUGCGUGUGUAAAGGUAGUGCCAAGAAAAGCGGUGAUCAUGAUGAAAAUCAAUUCCCGGUACCCGAAACCGACACAGGUGGGCAAGUAGAGAAUACUAAGGGGCGCGAGGUAACUCUCUCCAAGGAACUCGGCAAAAUGACCCCGUAACUUAGGGAGAAGGGGUGCCACCGAGAGGUGGUCGCAGUGAAGAGGCCCAGGCGACUGUUUAGCAAAAACAUAGGUCUCUGCAAACUCGAAAGAGGAGGUAUAGGGGCUGACGCCUGCCCAGUGCCGGAAGGUUAAAGAAGUUGGUCAGUCUUAGGAUGAAGCUAGCGACUGAAGCCCCGGUGAACGGCGGCCGUAACUAUAACGGUCCUAAGGUAUCGAAAUUCCUUGUCGGGUAAGUUCCGACCCGCACGAAAGGCGUAACGAUCUGGGCGCUGUCUCGGAGAGAGGCUCGGCGAAAUAGGAUUGUCUGUGAAGAUACGGACUACCUGCAUUUGGACAGAAAGACCCUAUGAAGCUUUACUAUAGCUUGGAAUUGUGUUCGGGCUUCCUGUGCGCAGGAUAGGUGGGAGGCGUAGAAGGUAUUCUUGUGGGGAUACUGGAGCCAACGGUGAGAUACCACUCUCAGGAGGCUAGAAUUCUAACUUAAUUAAGGACAGUUUCAGGUGGGUAGUUUGACUGGGGCGGUCGCCUCCAAAAAGGUAACGGAGGCGUACAAAGGUUCCCUCAGACUGGUUGGAAAUCAGUCGAAGAGUGCAAAGGCAGAAGGGAGCUUGACUGCGAGAAGUACAGUUCGAGCAGGGUGGAAACACGGUCUUAGUGAUCCGACGGUGCUGUGUGGAAGGGCCGUCGCUCAACGGAUAAAAGUUACUCUAGGAUAACAGGCUGAUCUCCCCCAAGAGUUCACAUCGACGGGGAGGUUUGGCACCUCGAUGUCGGCUCAUCGCAACCUGGGGCGGAAGUACGUCCCAAGGGUUGGGCUGUUCGCCCAUUAAAGCGGUACGUGAGCUGGGUUCAGAACGUCGUGAGACAGUUCGGUCCAUAUCCGAUGUAGGCGUGAGAAUAUUGAGAGGAGCCUUCCUUAGUACGAGAGGACCGGGAAGGACGCACCGCUGGUGUACCUGUUAUGAUGCCAAUUGUAAACGCAGGGUAGCCAAGUGCGGAGAGGAUAACCGCUGAAAGCAUCUAAGUGGGAAGCCCACCUCAAGAUGAGUAUUCUGGUGUAAGGUCACGGGAAGACGACCCGUAAAUAGGCACGAGGUGGAAGUGCAGAGAUGUAUGAAGCCGAAGUGUACUAAUAGACCGUCGGCUUGACC